Molecule: long non-coding RNA, 741 nt
Filed under: Oryctolagus cuniculus (rabbit)
Lineage: Eukaryota; Metazoa; Chordata; Mammalia; Lagomorpha; Leporidae
Description: lncRNA (ENSOCUG00000036165.1)
Source: RNAcentral
AUGCACAACAAAUGGCAGAGCAUGGAUUGGGCCCAGGGACUCUGCACUUGGGGACCAUGCUGUCCCCAUGACCCCUGGUGCCCGAGGUUGGUAAAGGACAUGGGGGAGGGGUGGAAGUCAGUGCAACUGUUAAGAUGCUGCCUGGGGAGCCGGUGCCCUGAGUCAGAGUGCGAGGUUCGAGUCAUGGCAGCUGCCAUCGCCUUCCUGCAGUCGCACCCUGGGGACAGCCCCUGCCACCCGUGUGGAGGACCUGGAUGGAGUUCUGGGCUCCCGGCUUCAGCCUGGCCCUGCCCUGCUGUUGCGGGUAUUGGGGGGGGGGGGCGAGAGGUGACCAGUAGAUGGGAGGCGGUCUCACUCUCGGUCUGUACUGAGGUCAGAGUGAGAUGGGAGGGGUCACCUGCUCCCCCAGGGCCCAGUGCUGUGUACCGAGGUCAGAGUGAGAGUGAGAUGGGAGGGGUCACCCUCCUCCCCCAGGGUCCACUCCUCCUCCUGCUCCACUGGCGACUCCUGGUUUUUCCACAAGGCUGCAUCUGAUGCCUUCAAGAUGGGAAGAAAUCCAGUCUGAAAGCAAGUAAGCAAAAGGACUACAACUAAUGACUCCCAUCUCACAGAUGGAAGGAUAACUAUAGAGUUACAGGGAGUUACUCAAGGCAGCACGGGAAUAAGCGAUAAGCCCGAGAUCACAACCUUACUACCUCGUGCCUUGCCCCUUGGCUGUGCGGUGACGGGGCUUGCCACUGG